This 253-nucleotide ribosomal RNA is filed under the name uncultured bacterium. RNAcentral describes it as "partial 16S ribosomal RNA". It matches the Rfam family "Bacterial small subunit ribosomal RNA", at positions 524 to 776 of the family's 1533-position model. The record is from RNAcentral.
UACAGAGGUCCCGAGCGUUGUUCGGAUUCACUGGGCGUAAAGGGUGCGUAGGUGGUCGGGUAAGUUUGAUGUGAAAUCUCUGAGCUCAACUCAGAAACUGCAUUGAAUACUAUUCGGCUAGAGGAGUGGAGGGGGGACUGGAAUACUUGGCGUAGCAGUGAAAUGCGUAGAUAUCAAGUGGAACACCAGUGGCGAAGGCGAGUCCCUGGACACUUCCUGACACUGAGGCACGAAAGCUAGGGGAGCAAACAGG